ACGCUCGACACCUACGGGAGGCAGCAGUGGGGAAUAUUGCACAAUGGGGGAAACCCUGAUGCAGCGACGCCGCGUGAGUGAAGAAGUAUUUCGGUAUGUAAAGCUCUAUCAGCAGGGAAGAAAAUGACGGUACCUGACUAAGAAGCCCCGGCUAACUACGUGCCAGUAGCCGCGGUAAUCUGAGCGGGCUGGCAAGGC
RNAcentral lists this ribosomal RNA (198 nucleotides) under uncultured bacterium. RNAcentral's name for it is "partial 16S ribosomal RNA". It matches the Rfam family "Bacterial small subunit ribosomal RNA", at positions 328 to 539 of the family's 1533-position model. The record is from RNAcentral.